CUACGUGCCAGCAGCCGCGGUAAUACGUAGGUGGCAAGCGUUGUCCGGAAUUAUUGGGCGUAAAGCGCGCGCAGGCGGAUUGGUCAGUCUGUCUUAAAAGUUCGGGGCUUAACCCCGUGAUGGGAUGGAAACUGCCAAUCUAGAGUAUCGGAGAGGAAAGUGGAAUUCCUAGUGUAGCGGUGAAAUGCGUAGAUAUUAGGAAGAACACCAGUGGCGAAGGCGACUUUCUGGACGAAAACUGACGCUGAGGCGCGAAAGCCAGGGGAGCGAACGGGAUUAGAUACCCCGGUAGUCCUGGCCGUAAACGAUGGGUACUAGGUGUAGGAGGUAUCGACCCCUUCUGUGCCGGAGUUAACGCAAUAAGUACCCCGCCUGGGGAGUACGACCGCAAGGUUGAAACUCAAAGGAAUUGACGGGGGCCCGCACAAGCGGUGGAGUAUGUGGUUUAAUUUGACGCAACGCGAAGAACCUUACCAGGUCUUGACAUUGAUGGAUAGAACUAGAGAUAG
RNAcentral lists this ribosomal RNA (509 nucleotides) under uncultured bacterium. Its description in RNAcentral is "bacterial SSU rRNA". It matches the Rfam family "Bacterial small subunit ribosomal RNA", at positions 501 to 1009 of the family's 1533-position model. The record is from RNAcentral.